GUUCCCAGGGUAAGUGUUGAAUUAGAGCUGUAGCUGCCGGCCCGCACCACAGCCAUAGCAAUGCCAGAUCUGAGCCGCAACUGUGACCCACAAUGCAGCUCACAGCAAUGCCAGAUCCUUAAUCCACUGAGCGAGGCCAGGGAUCAAACCUGCAACCUCAUGGAUACUAGUUGGGCUCAUUACCACUGAGCCACAAUGGGAACUCCCCAGAAAUAGUCUUAAUCUAGUUUCGAGAUUUGGUUUGCUGCGUAAGUGAUCAUCUGUUAGAAAAUCUGUGACAUAAUUUGAAGACUAAGAAAUACUCCCAACAGAUAAAACAGUGAGGAAUUUCUGGAAGAUGAGAUAAGUACAGGUGGAUGGGGCAACCCCUAUGAAAGCGAGGACAAAUACUCCCCACCGAGCAAAAGAAAGACGUUCCCCCCAAAUUAGUUUUCUGAACAAAACUUUGGAAAUCCCCAGAGAUAAGAAGCAGUGAGAAAGACAGUCAGAAUAUUAAGGUCAUUGCUCAUCCGUCUCCUUAGAGACCAGACUAUCCUGACAUUUAGGAUAAAGCCCUGUGCCUUAGUCCGGUUGGGUUACUAUAGCAAAAGCACCAGAGACGGGGUGCCAUCUAAACAAUGUAUUUCUUGCGGUUCUGGCACCAGCAGAUUCCAUGCUGGCAAGGGCCAGCUGCCGGAUCCAUCACCAUCUUGCUUGAGUUCCCACAUGGCAGAAGGGGUGAGGGAGCCCCUGGGGUCUCCUACAGGCACUAAUCCCAUUCAUGAAAGCUCCACUCUCAGGACCUAAUUGCCUCCCAAAGGCCCCACCCGCCAAUACCACCGCUUUGGGGAUUGAGAUUUCAGCACAAGAGUGGGGAUGGGGCGGGGGAUGGAAAAUAUAAAGUUUGUACCGUUGUACCUUGAGAAUCGUUCACAGAGUUCAGACACUUGACAAAAACAUCAAAGACCAACAACGUUCACAAAAGGCGCAACACUGAGCAAAAGGAGAACUGAAAGCCAAGGAAACAGGUAACAGUUAAUACACUAGAUCAGGAGUCAGCAAACCACAGGCCAAAUCCAGCCCAAUACCUGCUCCAGAAAGAAUGGUUUGGUUUUUGUUUGUUUGUUUGUCUUUUUAAGGCUGAACGUGUGGCAUAUAGAGGUUCCCAGGCUAGGGGUCAAAUUGGAGCUGUAGCCACCAACCUACACCACCAGCCACAACAACACCAUAUCUGAGCUUUGUCUGCAACCUACACCUCAGCUCACAGCAAUGCUGGAUACUUAACCCACUGAGUGUGGCCAGGGAUCAAACCUGCAUCCUCAUAGAUCUUAGAUUUGUUUCCACUGAGCCAUGACAGGAACUCUGAAAGAAUGGUUUUUACUAGUGACCACGUGCAACUGAUUUUAUGGUAGGGAAAAAACUUUGGACCCCAAUUAAUUGAAACGUAUCUCCCUUCCUCCCCACUCAAAGAAAUCCAUUCUUUUCACUAGUAGAUCUGUAUUACCAAAAAAUAUAUACUCAAUCAUUUUUAAAAAUUUUAUUUUCAUUUUAUUUCAUCAUUUAAAAAGUUGUGUAAGUGUGUGAAACUUGUGCGUUACAGAGCCUGGAUUUGAACCUAGGAAACCUGACCGUUCACACUACUGCCUCCCUAAAAAAUCAAGAGCUGCCUUCUGGCAAGACCGGUGGACUUGCUAGGCGAUGCUUUGAGCUCUGCUUGCAAGGAUUCCUGAAACCUCCCCACAAUCCUCUCCCCCUCCCGUGUACCUCUUUGCUCCAGGAGUAGUUACGUAUAGCGCCAUCUAGUGGAGCCAGUGCUAAUCUGGAGCCCGACUGGCCAAGUUCCCAUGCUGCCAUCAUUCCCUCCUUGGCUCUGCGCCUCAAUCUUCUGGGGCUUUUGGGGGCGCACCCACAGCAUGUGGCAGUUCCUGGAUCCCUAGGCCAGGGAUCGAACCUACACCACAGCAGUGACAACUGCCAGAUCCUUAACCACUCAGCCUCCAAGGAACUCUGCUGGCUUCGGUCUCUUAGUAGGCAGUCAAUAGACAUUGUUUCCCAGAAGAGACCUCCUGCAAUGGCUGCUGUCUCUGGCUGGUUCCUUGGGGCCGGGUUCGGCCAAGGGAGGCUUGAAAUACCAACUCAGGCAUGGUCCCCACAUUUUUUUUUUUUUUUUUUGGGCUAACCCUGUGGCAUAUGGAGGUUCCCAGGCCAGGGGUCCAAUCUGAGCUACAGCUGCUGGCCUAUGCCACAGCCACAGAACCGCGGAAUCCAAGCUGCAUCUGUGACCUACACCACAGCCCAUAGCAAUGCUGGAUCCUUAAUCCACUGAGCAAGGCCAGGGAUCGAACCCACAACCUCAGGGUUCCUAGUCAGAUUCGUUUCCACUGUGCCACGACGGGACUCCCAGGUGUCUUUUUUGCUAAGAACCACCAGCCUCACAUUGGCUGAGGGCCAGAACCAGCUACAUAAUUUGUGGGGCUCAUUUCAAAAUGAAAAUGGGGGUGCCCUUGUUCAAAAAUUAUUAGGAGGGAGUUCCCAUCAUGGCUCAGUGGAAACAAAUCCAACUAGUAUCCAUGAGGUUGCAGGUUCGAUCCCUUGCCUCGUUCAGUGGGUUAAGGAUCUGGCGUUGCCAUGAGCAGUGGUGUAGGCUGGAGGCUAUAGCUCCGAUUCAGCCCCUAGCCUGGGAACUUCCAUAUGCCACGGGUGCAGCCCUAAAAAGAAAAAAAAAAAUUAUUAGGAAUUUCAACAAGGCUAUAGCAGCAUUAAUGAAGUGAGGGGCCAGUCCGAGCCUGGGGGGCCCGACAUGGCUGCCCAGAUUGCAGGCCCAUGAAGCCCACCUUGCUGUGAGCUAGAUGCCACCCUAAAAUCUUAGCGGGAUCUCCCCUCAUUACACCUUCUCAAGAACCCAGCCUGGUGAGUGGUGGUAUCUCACAUUUUUUUAAAAAUGUUUUGUUUUUUUUUUGUCUUUUUUUGCUAUUUCUUUGGGCCACUCCCGCGGCAUAUCGAGGUUCCCAGGCUAGGGGUCAAAUUGGAGCUGUAGCCCCUGGCCUACGCCAGAGCCACAGCAACGCGGGAUCCGAGCCGCGUCUGCAACCUACACCACAGCUCACGGCAACGCCGGAUCCUUAACCCACGGAGCAAGGGCAGGGACCAAACCCGAAACCUCAAGGUUCCUGGUCGGAUUCCUUAACCACUGCGCCACGACGGGAACUCCCCAUUCAAGGAUUUUAAUGGAGCCCCAACCUAGUUCCCCGAGGCCAUGACAAACCUCCAGUGUUGCUACAGAGACAGCACCAGCCCACACCCUGCUCAGGCUCUGGCCAGCCGGCAGGGCGGGCACUGCAGGCACCCAGACCUAUGCUGCUCCCGGAGGCUGUCCCACCCUCAAAGCAUCCGACAGCCUCAGGGCCACACUCAGCCCCUGACCUACCAGGGUCUCUGGCACCCUCACCCCAGGCCCUGGCUGCGUGGAGGCCCAAAGGCCAGGUUUAGUGGUGAGAGAACCAGGAUGCAGAACCCUACCCCUACCUCUACCCCACCCCUACCCCCUAACCCCAACCCCAACCCCAACCCUAACCCUAAGGCCUGAGGAGGGGACUGGACAUUGGAGCCCAGGUCCGGCUUUGUCACACCCAUCUCUGGCCCAAGGUGGGGGGUGGGGAGGGGGUCUGCCUGGCCUGGGACCAAAGGAGUGGAGUCCCUGUGGGCUCAGAAAUGGGGGAGAAUAGAGACGGGGAAGGAACCAAAAGCUGGACCCCCUCAGGAAAAGCCCUCAGGAAGCACCCCUUUCCUGAUUCUGUAGAUUUACAGCGCAGGAGGGCUGAGCUCUGUUUAGGGGGUCAGGACCAGCAUUAGAAAGCCAAGAGUUGGGGGGUUCCUGUCGUGGCUCAGUGGUUAACGAAUCUGACCAGUAUCCAUGAGGACGUGGGUUCGAUCCCUGGCAUCGCUCAGUGGGUUAAAGAUCUGGCGUUGCCGUCAGCAGUGGUGCAGGUCACAGACGAGGCUCAGAUCCCAUGUUGCUGUGGCUGUGAUGUAGGCUGGCAGCUACAGCUCCGAUUAGACCCCUAGGCUGGGAAUCUCCAUAUGCCACGGGGUCCGGCCCUAAAAAGACAAAAAAAUUUUUAAAAAUUAAAAAAUUUUUAAAAAGCAAACAGUUGGAGUCCCCUGGUGGCUCCACAGGCUAAGGACACGUCAUUGGAUCCACUGAGGUGGCUCAGGUUGAUACCUGUGCCGGUAACUUUCGCAUGCUGAGGGUGCGGCCACACAAAACAAAACAAGAUAAGCACAAAGAUACAUAACUAUAAUACGUGCUAAGUGAGGACGACAGGUGCCCACAGGCCCUGUGGGGACAGGGAUUUCCGACUCCCCGACCUGUUCCUGGCCCCCCUCAUUUCACGUCUUUGUCCCUAAGUUUCUCCCGUCACCUCUUCUUUCCCUCUUCCCUCUUCUUCCCAAUCCGGGGUGAGUCUUCUCCAUCCAGGCCCCUCGCGGGCCCAUCCUUCCCCACCUCCUCCACACGCUCCCCACUCGCUGACCUGGGCAGAGACCGCAGCCCCCCAACUCCUUUGCUUCCACCUCGGCCAGUGUCCCAGGCC
This 4571-nucleotide long non-coding RNA is filed under the name Sus scrofa (pig). RNAcentral's name for it is "lncRNA (ENSSSCG00060066351.1)". Lineage: Eukaryota; Metazoa; Chordata; Mammalia; Artiodactyla; Suidae. The record is from RNAcentral.